AAAAGGAUAGAGGGUUAAAUUAAAAGGUCGGAAUAUAUUAUGUCAUAGUUUGUCAACUACAAUUAGAGAAGUAAAUUAGCACAAAAAAAAAGGGAAAAAGAAAGAAGAUCGAGAGGGAGAGGGAAAAGAAUGGUUUUUGGAAGAAAAAUAGCUAAGGGAAAGUUUUAUGUGAACUUUUGAUAACAAAAAUGAAGUGAAAUCUUAAAUU
This 208-nucleotide unclassified non-coding RNA is filed under the name Hevea brasiliensis (rubber tree). Lineage: Eukaryota; Viridiplantae; Streptophyta; Magnoliopsida; Malpighiales; Euphorbiaceae. The record is from RNAcentral.